This 253-nucleotide ribosomal RNA is filed under the name uncultured bacterium. Its description in RNAcentral is "partial 16S ribosomal RNA". It matches the Rfam family "Bacterial small subunit ribosomal RNA", at positions 524 to 776 of the family's 1533-position model. The record is from RNAcentral.
UACGUAGGGUGCAAGCGUUGUCCGGAAUUAUUGGGCGUAAAGAGCUCGUAGGCGGUUCGUCGCGUCGGCUGUGAAAACCCGGAGCUCAACUCCGGGCCUGCAGUCGAUACGGGCGGGCUAGAGUUCGGCAGGGGAGACUGGAAUUCCUGGUGUAGCGGUGAAAUGCGCAGAUAUCAGGAGGAACACCGGUGGCGAAGGCGGGUCUCUGGGCCGAUGCUGACGCUGAGGAGCGACAGCGUGGGGAGCAAACAGG